AAGAGAAAAUCUCAGAAAUCAGAGACAAAGCAAUAGCAAAUCGUAACAAGUUAGUGUUUAUACAACUGCAUAUUCGGUUUGCCUUUUCUUCUUUAAACGUUGCAUUUAUCGGGUUAUGUUGCCUCCAAUCAGGUACGUUGGACUCUCAUCCACGGGGAUAACAUAUAAAUCUGGUUCAGCUUCAGCAUCAUUUGGUGGUAGUUUUCAAAGUGGUUCAAGCAAUUAUGACAGCUACAAGGAUAGGGAUUCCAGAGAAGACAAAAAUGACUACGAGUCUUUUCAAAAGUCAAGGCGCGGUGUUAAAAGUGACGAGCAAGGCUUUACUUCAAAGAAGAGUUUUUCACGCUAUGGCAGGUUUUAUGUCAACCCCUUUCAUUUCUGAUGUUACGUUCGUUACAGAUUUUGAAUAUAUUUCAAUUUGUGAGUUUUAUUUCCCAGAUGAGGCUGCUUGUUUCCUUUUAUCUUCUUGUUUCUGUUUUCGUUUACGACUCAUUUUGUGUUUUUUUUUUUCUGAUGUAGAGUAACUUACUUUUUCAUUAUUGCUCAAUUUAGUUCAAUUUUGAAUGUGCAGCACGGACCAUGAUAAUCUAUCCACUGGAAAAAAGUCACCCGACUCUGCCAAGUAUAGUUCACAUGUGUCUGCAGCACCUUCAAACAACGAUGAUGAUUUUGAUGAUUUUGAUCCACGUGGAACUUCCAGCAAUAGUAUGUUUUUUUCUAGACUGCUGAGCUUUCAGAUUGUUUAUCAUUUAUUGGACAUUUAAUUAGUUUGAUAACUUAUAGGGAACAACAUGUAUAUAUGAUAGAUGAAAGUCAUGUCUUAUCUGUAUCGGUUUCGUUUUGGCAGAGCCAGCCGCAGGCAGUGCUAACCAAGUGGACCUUUUUGGAGGAGAUCUGAUUGGUGACCUCUUGGAUUCUGGGCCAACAGAAACAUCCACCACCAACAACAACGAGAAAUUUCAAGAUGCGGACUUGUUUGCUGAUGCAACUUUUGUAUCAGCCUCGGCUCAGGGAACAGGAUUUGGUUCACAGUCACCGGUGGGCAACUUCUUCCAUCUAAGCUAGUAUAAGGCUUUAAACAAAUGAAAAUUUCCUUAUUAACGUUCUAUCUGAUUCAAUUCUGCACUGCUUGACAAACAUGCUCAGUUUUCGUUGUUGAAGUUAUAACGCGUCAUUAUGAAUUGUGCUAUUGAAUCAUAGACUGAUAUGUCUCCCCAUGUCUGUUUCUACAGAAAGAAGUUGAUCUUUUCUCUGCGUCUGAACCUUCUGUCACAGUUUCUUCAGCUCCUCCGACAGUUGAUCUUUUUGCAUCUCCCGAAUCCAUUGCACGCCCAGAAGCCAAUAUAUCUAAACCUGAGUCUAUGACCACUCCCAACAUUGUUGACCCAUUUGCUGCAGUUCCAAUGGAUAAUUUUGAUGGAUCUGAUCCUUUUGGUGCCUUCACUUCCCACUCGGCUUCAGCCUCUACAGGUCCACAGGCUCCAAAUGUACAAGGGAGUGCAGCAAACACUACAAGCCCGAUGUCUUUGGCAGACUCGAAGCCACAACACUUGCAAAAGAAAGAUCCUUUCCAAGUGAAAUCUGGAAUUUGGGCAAAUUCUCUGAGCCGUGGACUGAUUGAUCUCAAUCUAACUGCUCGUAAGUCAAAACUUCCCCCUUCAUCCAGAACUCUAUCAUGUGCCAUGCACUAGUAUGUGGUAGUGAACUAUUAAGAAAAUUGUAUUUUUCUCAUUAGAUGCAGAUAAAACUGAACAGGUAUAGUUGGUCAAUUACAUUCCAACGAAUUGUCAAAUAGUUGAUUAAACCACUCAAACUUCUUCGGUCAUAUAGAAUUUCAAUACCAUGUACCUUGACUUUGCAUUGUGUCAAGACAAAUAAAUGGUCGGGUUUAACUUUCUAAGUGCGAUCUCAGUCCUGACUAUUUGGUUUUCCUUGUAAUCAGCCAAAAAAGCUUCUCUAGCUGAUGUGGGCGUGGUGGGUGGUCUGAGCAAUGAUGAAGGUAACAAAGCAUCUGCUGCUUCGUACUACUCAGGCUGGUCCAUGGGUGCAGGAUCAGGGCUCGGUAAAACUGGUCUAUACAGUACACAGCAGCAGCAGCAACAACAAGCACAUGAUAUCUCAGAUGAUUUCUUCUCCAGCCUCAGUAACCAAAACUACCAAUCUGGAGGCUUUAAGUAGUGAAUUUGUCCGGGAUAUUCGUAUUGAGACGGAAAAGGCAUAUCAGGUUUGAGUCUACAUUCAAUACUGGAAAUCUAAGUAAUAUUUUUUUUUAAUUGGCUUGUUGUUCUUGCACUUCAUUCAUGAGACGAUCUGGUCGGUGGCUGAUGUGCCAUUGUUGUUGUGGCAUUUACUUUGGGUUUAAAUGAGAGAUAAGAAGAGAUAAGAAUUGUCUAUGGUUUUUGAUAAGAGAGUAUUAUUAUUGGGUUUAAGUUUUGUUUUGUUCAUACAAAAUAAAUGUAUCUGAGUAUCUCGUCCGACUCUUCAAAGAUUUUUGCUAUCGUGUGUGAUUCUUAAUCCAAAGAGACUCCAACGUUCUUCUUAAUUAUGUUUUCUGAUUUUAUUCAGAAACUGCGUACACAUUGACGUAAGUUCAUAUCUUAAUGAUUAUGUUUAAGACUAAUCUUAUUACACUAUUUAGUUAACUUGUCACGAAUGACUUAAAAUAUAGGUUAAUCUUAUUUACAAAGAAAAUGAUUAAAUUGGAACAGAAAGAAAGAAAAAAAACUAGUCCAACACAAAAAUAAAAAAUGUCAUCUCUUCACUGGUUUACCAAUAUCGUCUUCGUCGUUGUCGUCUUCUGCUCCACGAGUUUAGCUUCACCCUUACAUGGAAGCUCACAGGUUGUACUAGAAGAAGAAACCACAGUAGUAGGAUACGGCUACGUCGUUAGAUCAGUGGCUGUUGAUUCCAAUGAGAAGCUUUUGACGGCGAAUCUUGACCUGAUCAAACCGUCGUCCGUUUACGCACCGGAUGUGAAAUCGCUUAGUCUUCAUGCCAGGUCCUUAUAAUCUUCUCCGUUCUUCUCUCACUCUUAGCAAUAUAUCUAAUUUGGCAAGUUUUUUAAAGUUAUUUUAAAUGUGCGAUAAUUAAGGAAAGUUUUAUGAUUGUUUGGUAUAUAUUAUAUGUGCAGCUUGGAGACGAGUGAGCGUUUGAGAAUCAGAAUCACAGAUUUUAGUCAACAAAGAUGGGAGAUACCGGAAAAUGUUAUUCCUCGCGCCGGAAACCACUCUCCUCGCCGUUUCGUAACGGAGGAAGUAGACGGAGGAAACUCGCCGGACAGCAAUUUCUUAACAGAUCCAUCAUCGGACUUAGUUUUCACACUCCACAACACCACGCCUUUCGGUUUCUCCGUCACCCGACGCUCCUCCGGCGAUAUCCUCUUCGACACUUCGCCGGAUCAAUCAGAUCCGAGCACUUACUUCAUCUUCAAAGACCAAUUCCUUCAACUAUCUUCCGCGUUACCGGAAAACAGAUCGAAUCUGUAUGGUCUCGGGGAGCAAACCAAGCGAUCGUUCAGGCUAAUCCCGGGUGAUACUAUGACUAUGUGGAACGCCGACAUCGGUAGCGAGAAUCCGGAUGUUAACCUUUACGGAUCGCACCCGUUUUACAUGGAUGUAAGAGGAUCAAACGGUCAUGACGAAGCAGGGACGACUCACGGCGUUUUGUUGCUGAACAGCAAUGGAAUGGAUGUGAAGUAUGAAGGACAUCGGAUUACUUACAGUGUGAUCGGAGGAGUCAUUGAUCUCUAUGUGUUCGCUGGACCAUCACCUGAAAUGGUGAUGAAUCAGUACACAGAGCUUAUUGGAAGACCUGCUCCUAUGCCUUACUGGUCAUUUGGUAAGAGACAUUGUGCUGUUGCAUUUUGUUUGCUUAAAAGUUAGUCCAUAGCAUUAUCAGAUAAUAUACUUGUUUGUGUGGAUUGAGAUGUGCGUUUUGCUUUGAUUUUGUGAAGGAUUUCACCAAUGUAGGUAUGGCUACAAGAAUGUUUCAGACCUCGAAUCUGUAGUUGAUGGAUAUGCAAAAGCUAGAAUACCUCUUGAGGUUAUGUGGACAGACAUUGAUUACAUGGACGGCUACAAAGACUUCACUUUGGACCCCGUAAAUUUCCCAGAGGACAAGAUGAAAUCAUUUGUGGAUACACUUCAUAAGAGUGGUCAGAAAUACGUGCUGAUCUUGGAUCCCGGUAACAACCAUAUACUAUCUCUUGUCUGUAGAGUCUUUAACAAAUUGAUUUUACAAGAUGAAAAUAUUGGGUUUACGUGUAGGUAUUGGUGUGAACAGAUCUUACGGGACUUAUAAUAGAGGGAUGGAAGCAGAUGUUUUCAUAAAGCGAGAUGGUGAGCCUUAUCUCGGUGAGGUUUGGCCCGGAAAAGUAUACUUCCCUGACUUCUUGAAUCCAGCUGCUGCAACUUUCUGGAGCAAUGAAAUCAAGAUUUUCCAGGACAUUCUCCCUUUGGAUGGUCUGUGGAUUGACAUGAAUGAGUUAUCAAAUUUCAUAACUUCACCUCUAACCCCUGGAUCUUCACUCGAUGAUCCUCCUUACAAGAUUAACAAUUUUGGGGACAACGCGCCAAUAAACAACAAGACAGUUCCCGCAACAGCUAUCCAUUUUGGAAACGUUAGUGAAUACAAUGCGCAUAACUUGUAUGGCCUGUUGGAAGCUAAAGCCACUCACCAGGCUAUAGUGGAUGUAAUGGGAAAGAGACCAUUUGUUUUGUCGAGAUCCACGUUUGUAAGCUCCGGAAAGUACACGGCUCACUGGACUGGUGAUAAUGCUGCAAAAUGGGAGGAUUUGGCUUACUCAAUCCCUGGAAUUCUCAACUUUGGUCUGUUUGGGAUUCCUAUGGUUGGAGCUGAUAUAUGUGGUUUCUCACAUGAUACCACCGAGGAACUAUGUCGUCGAUGGAUCCAGGUAGAGUGAUUAUUUCUCAGACACAACCUGUAGACUUUUUCCUGAGUUCGUAAUCUAACGUUUGCUCUUAGAUUAUCAGCUUGGAGCUUUUUACCCUUUUGCAAGAGACCAUUCGUCCCUUAAUACCGCCAGACAAGAAUUAUACCUCUGGGAGUCUGUUGCUUCUUCUGCAAGAAAGGUUCUCGGCCUCCGUAUGAGACUGCUCCCACAUCUCUAUACACUGAUGUAUGAGGCUCACGUUAGCGGCAUCCCGAUCGUGAGACCACUCUUCUUCUCGUUCCCUCAAGACACUAACACUUACGAAAUUGAUUCACAGUUCUUGAUCGGUAAAAGCAUAAUGGUUUCUCCGGCGCUGGAGCAAGGAAAGCUGACGGUAGAUGCAUAUUUCCCUGCCGGAAACUGGUUUGAUCUUUUUAACUAUUCAUUUGCCGUCGGUGGAGCUUCUGGCAAGCACGUUAGGCUUGACACUCCCGCAGAUCACGUGAACGUUCAUGUUCGAGAAGGUAAUUAAAUAGUAUGUUCUUUGAUAGCUACUUCUGAAAUGAAACUGGAGUUGAGCUUGAACAGAUUUUGGUUUAACUUGUAAAUAGGUAGUAUUGUGGCUAUGCAAGGAGAGGCAAUGACAACUAGAGACGCCAGAAAGACACCGUAUGAGCUUCUAGUUGUAGCCAGCCGGCUUGAGAACAUAUCCGGCGAACUGUUUCUGGAUGACGGGGAAAAGAUACAGAUGGGAGAGGGAGGAGGAAACCGUGAUUGGACUCUCGUGAAGUUCCGGUGCUACGUAACAGGGAAAUCGGUGGUACUGAGAUCAGAAGUGGUGAACCCAGAGUACGCUUCGAGAAUGAAAUGGAGCAUAGGGAAAGUGACAUUUGUUGGGUUCGAGAACGUAGAGAGCGUGAAAACGUACGAGGUGAGGACAGGUGAGAGAUUGAGAAGUCCGAGAAUCUCGCUAAUCAAAACGGUUAUGGACGAUGAUGAUCCGAGGUUUCUCAGUGUGGAGGUUUCAAAGCUGUCGUUGCUUGUUGGGAAGAAGUUCGAGAUGAGAUUGAAAUUGACUUGAACAAGUACUAAACCCAAAUAUUGAUGAUAUAAACUCUGGAUGCUUAAUGAAUAAAGGGUGUAAAGAAGAGUGAUAUAUAAAGAUUUAAGAAUAAUGUCAUGCGAUCCAAUUACUUUGUAUUAUUGUACAGAAGGAUACAUACCAGGUUCAAAAUUCGUGUAUCAUAAAUAUUGUAUUUUUCCCUUCUCCUUUUCACUUCGUUAGUAUUUUCUGUUCAUUAUAAAUCAACCAAAUUGCAGUCUUCAAAAUUUUUGAACCAUCUGCACAUGUUGCCAUGUGGGGUUUGCCGGAAAAAAAAAAAAAAAAAAAAAGAGAGGAGCAUAUUUUUUUAUUUUUUAUUUUUUAUUUUUUUUUGUCAAAAGAGAGGAGCAUAUUUGUGCCACUUUGACCACUUUUUUCCUUUUGCUAAUAUACCGCCAUGUUUGUGCCCACAAUUUUUCUGAAUUCUCACUAAUUGUCAUUGACCUCGUUAACUCAAAUUUCAAAAUAAUUAAUUAACAUAAUAAACUUACAAAUUACAAUUCGAAAUUAUCCUUAUUGGUUGAUAAAUAUCCUUAAACGCGUUUAAAAUUAAUUACCAAACCAGAAGAAGAAAAAAAAUGAAUGUUAUGGUCCCAUUCUAAUAUACACACACACACACAAAAAAGAGUCGACGGUACAACAGCGGUCUUGUCUAGUACGCAAAAACAGUUUCGGCGUCUUCCUCACAUUACUUUUCUCAAUCAAUACCGUCUUCUCCUCUCCAUCCAUUAUCUCUCUCUCUCUCCCUCACGGAUUCGUAACUUCUUCUCAGUGCUUCUCCGUCAUCUUCGCAUUAUUGAUUCUUACUUUUUCCCUGUAAGCUCGACACGUGGAUUGUUCCCCUGCUUUUUCUUUUGUUUUUUUUUGCCUCUUUUCGUGAAGAUUCGUUUCCUGUAUCUGUGCAGACUUGCAAUGGAGUAAGUUUCCUAAAUUAGCUCGGCUCUAGAUCCUAGUUUCUUUAAUUAGCUUGUCCGGUGAAGGAAUUAGUGACUGGAUCAACUAGAUACUAUCGAUUCCGUAUGCUGCGGCUUUCGAUUUCGUGGAUUUGUAUUUGGAAAUUUUGCCGAUUUUUCUGAUUCUGUCCUGCUGGUAAAGGUCUCGUGAUUAGCGGAGGAGAUCUGGAGUUCUUAGUUUUAGGAUCUUACGAGCGAGCAAUUGUUGACUUUUGAUUUUGCCACAGUUUUAUUCACGUGUGUAGGCUUAGUUGAUUCAGAUUCAAGUUAGAAGCAGAAUCAGAAUCUGCAAAUACCUGUUGUUUUAGAAACUAUAGAGAUGCAGACUAGGGUUGUACAGUUGGAAGAAGGGAAAGAAACUGGAAUCACGGUUAGAACAGGGCAGUACAAGGCAUUUCCUUCGAAGCUGCUUCUUCUGCUAGGCUUUUUUCUUGCUUUUGCUAUUACUGUCUUCAUCAUUAGUGUAUCUACUAUCAAGUAUACUGGAAUACAAAGUGUAGUGACCACAGUGACUUCGAGCUUUGUGCCAUGCCGUGAGGAUGAACCCAGUGGUUUUAGUCAAUGGAUACUACCUCCUGCUGUUCUGAUGCAUAAUAUGAGCGACGAAGAGCUCCUUUGGCGCGCUUCUUUUUGGCCUCGGAGAAAAGAAUAUCCCUUUAAAAGGGUUCCAAAGAUUGCGUUUAUGUUCUUGACUAAAGGCCCCUUGCCGCUUGCUUUGCUUUGGGAGAGGUUUUUCAAGGGUCACAAUGGGCUUUACUCGGUUUACCUUCAUCCACACCCAUCUUUUACAGCCAAGUUUCCAGCUAACUCUGUUUUCCACCGGAGGCAGAUACCCAGCCAGGUCUGGUUCUUUUAUUUCUCUUCUGUUUACAUGGAUACCAGUUUCAUAUGGUAUGAGAAACUGGAGCUCCUGGACCAAACUUGGUUUCUAUAGAAGCCUCUUUGGCAUUGCGUAUUUACUCCAUACAGCCUUUUUGGAUGCCAUGUAGUCAUCGCUCUUGAAGUAUUAUUGUUGAUUAAGUGAUUAGUUGGAUUACCAAUCACAUAAACUAUCAGAAAAUAUAACUCUAGAAUCAAAUUGGUGGUUUCUUUAGUAGCCUUUUGUUCAAGCAGUUCUUCAGAUUGCUUUGAAUCUAAUUGGUUAUGUAUCUGAUUUUAUUGUUGUAUCAUUGUGCAGGUUGCAGAAUGGGGGAGAAUGUCCAUGUGUGAUGCAGAGAAGCGGCUUCUCGCCAAUGCGCUGCUUGAUAUCUCCAACGAAUGGUUUAUUCUAGUCUCAGAGUCAUGCAUUCCACUCUACAACUUCACAACCAUCUACAGCUACUUAAGCCGAUCAAAACACAGCUUCAUGGGUGCUUUUGAUGACCCUGGACCGUAUGGGCGCGGCCGCUAUAACUCGAACAUGGAACCAGAAGUCCCCAUUACCAAAUGGCGAAAAGGGUCUCAAUGGUUUGAGAUUAACAGGGACCUAGCAGCUACCAUUGUCAAAGACACAUUGUAUUACCCGAAAUUCAAAGAGUUUUGCAGACCCGCUUGCUAUGUGGACGAGCAUUACUUCCCGACAAUGCUGACAAUUGAGAAACCAGAGGUCUUGGCUAACCGGAGCUUGACAUGGGUGGACUGGUCGAGGGGAGGGCCCCACCCUGCCACGUUUGGGCGAUCUGACGUUACAGAGAAUUUCUUUGUAAAGAUCUUUGAUGGAAGAAACUGCACUUACAAUGGGCGCAACACUUCCAUGUGCUAUCUUUUUGCGAGGAAGUUUGCUCCGAGUGCUCUGGAGCCUUUGCUUAGCAUUUCUCCGAAGAUUCUUGGAUUUUGAGUAGUUUAGUAAUGUCUCUGAACCUCUUAGACAUCAAAUAGAGAACACGGAAUGGGUGAGAUAAUGGAUUCUAUGGGAGAUUAUACGCCGAUAUUAUUUUAUUUUGUUUGUUGUGAUGUAAGUUGGGAAGAAAUGAGGUAUUAGUAGAGAGAACUCUAGGUUGCUCAACCACAACAGGAGCCAAGUCAUAUGUAACUUUAUAUUUUUAAAGAAUUACUACUAUGCUAUGCAUAGAUCAUUUUUUCUUCCGGAUAGUCUUGGAACAUUAGUUGUCCGAUGCACGAAAUAGGACAGGUUUAUUAUAUAUACGCAAGUGUCAUUGAAUCAGAUUUGUUUGUCUAAUGUUUUUUCUAAUGUUAUCGUCUCUAACUCAUUUUGAAUCAGGUUAGAAAAACGAACAAACCUUUCUUAACAUGGAUAUGUAUAUAGAGUAAUCUUAGUCUUGGUAAAUUGCUUACCGACCUACAAACUAAAAAGAAAGAAAGAAAGAAAGAAAAAUUGCUUACCGACCAAGAUAUUGCUUAGAAUGUGAAACCAGUAGACUAGAUAACUAAAUGACAAUGGGAACAAACCAGAGCCAGGUGGAGAACACACUUUUACACCUAAUCGAAGGUUCUCGAAACCCUCAAGAGCCUGCCAACGUCUACCAUCUGUCUUUUUUUCUCUUUCUCUUUAAACAAUUGCAAAGUUUAAUAAAGUAUGUGAAAAGGUUUCAUUUAUGGAAAAAGAAGGUCUCAAAAUUCAAUUCUAUAUCAUCUUAUUGGAAUAUAUUCUCUGAGAUAAAAAGAAAUUCCACACACAUUCCACCAAUUUUUUAUUGUAUAUAAAAACUUAUAAUGAAAAUAUUUUCAACUUUUUUUUUUAGUUCUGAACAAAAAUAAUUUCAAAUAUUUUCUUCAAACUGACUUUUUCUAAGAAAUGUGAUGUCCACCCAUUCAACUAAGUUGGCUCACAUUAUUCUCAAAAUUAUAUAAAAAACAAAUCUAUAUGGUCUAGAUGCUAUUAAUAACUAUUGAAAAACAAGACAAUUUUGACAAAUUCUCAUAAUACUAUUAGAAAACAUUAUAAUAUAGUUAUUAAUUAUAUAUUUGUCUACUCUUUUCAAUAUCGCAUUAAUCUUCCAUGAUAAGGAAAAAGAAAGAUUAGCACAUUGUUCUUCGUUUGUUUACCAAACAAAAAAAAACACACAGUUCACCAAUACCAGUUUAAAGUACAUUAAUCAAACAUUGCUUCGAGAAACCAAAGAAAAAACAAUUUUUAUUACCUCUUCUGUCGACGUUAUUUGUUUUUUAAAGAAGCUCUUUUCUAUAAAGGAAAAACAUUAGCCGUUACACGAACCCCAUGUGCUCACCAAAUAAAAUGGUCCCUUCUUUACUCCCAACCAAAUACAAAUACAAAUACAAAUACAAGUCUGCGCAUCUUGGCCGUUUCCUUCACGGAACCGCGUUUUUCCGUCACUGUUAAAAAAAAAUUGACAGCUCAUCAAACAUUCUCCACGCGCCGUGACUAACAAACAAAAACCUCUACCAAGACCGUUGCGUCUUUUUUAGUCCAGAAAGUUAGAUGCACGCGCCAAGUGUGAGCGUUCGAGACAAAAAUAUCCUCGCGAACGGCGCCGUAACGGAAGAAAGAUGACCUGUCGAAAUCUCAGUGAUUGCGUGGGAGCAAUAUCAACCGUCGAUUAUUCAUACUCCAGCUGGAAAAAUCAGGGCAGCUAAACCAACUAAACCGGGCAGCUCCACCUCUUUAUAAACUCGUCACCACAUUUCAUUUUAGAAAACCAAAUAUUCAAAGAACCCUAGCCUCCUCUCUCUUCUUCAUUCACAUACACACACAUCUCUCUCUUUCUCACUCUCAACUUUAAAACUCUUUUGAAAUGGCGUUCUCCAAGGCUUCAAUCGUUGCUCUCGUGUUGGUCAUCAUCUCCGUCGUGGCUACGGCUCAGUCUGAAGCCCCAGCACCAAGUCCUACUUCCGGAUCUAGCGCGAUCUCAGCUUCGUUCGUCUCAGCUGGAGUAGCAGCAGUGGCGGCUCUUGUCUUCGGCUCUGCUCUUCGGAUCUAAGCUUUACUGUGAUGGUGGUUUCGUACAGAGAUUGUUUUUGCAGUUUAUGAUUAUUAUUAAUAUAUCUUGGGGAGUAUAGGCCAUUCAUCAUUAUUCGUCUCUCGUGUGUAUUCCGAAGCCUAUAGAUCUCAUUUCUUACUUGGCUCUCUUUUCUAUCUUCUUCUUCUAUAUUAUAAUCUUCAUAUAUGUAUUGAGGAUGAUAUUAUCUCUGGGUAUUGUGGUGGUUUUAGAGUUGUGGGAUUAUGGCCCUUUUUGAUAUGAUAUAUUGAAUCUAUUCUAUUUAUUUAUAUAUUUAUGGAUUUCCCUUCUUAAAUCUCUCUCUCUCUCUCUCUCUCUUCUCGUGUUUCACAGAUUAAUAUGAGAAUAUGCUUACACAGAGUAGUUGAGAAUUUUAUAAAUCGGAAUAUAUUCCAACGCGUUACAAAUCGAAUCAUUCCAAAACCCAAGUAAAAUGCUGUAACUCAAAAGCUAACUUUUAUGAUCUAAUUGAGAAUCAAAAAUUGUAUUCUGGUGGAAAUGGAACUGAUUCUAAACAAAGCUCG
RNAcentral lists this long non-coding RNA (11366 nucleotides) under Capsella rubella. RNAcentral's name for it is "long non-coding RNA (CRUB_LNC001928)". The record is from RNAcentral. Lineage: Eukaryota; Viridiplantae; Streptophyta; Magnoliopsida; Brassicales; Brassicaceae.